CGGAACAUGAGGGGCUAGCGCCCCUGGCCGCUGGGUCUGGGGCUCGGGCGCUCAGGCAGUCCAGCAGCCUGAGUGGACCUGCAGUACAGACACAAAGCAAAGGCGGGUCACUAAUGCGCAGACGCCAAGCAUCUUCCUUGUCAUGGCCAGACUGUAGCGGCUGGGCGAGGGGCCUCGUGAAGGUUGAUUGAUGCCAGUAGCCAUCUAACUGCCAAUUAAUGCCGUGGUGGUGAUUCGACUGAACAAUCGCUGCCCUUGGACAUGGAGUUUCACUAGACUUAGAGAUAAUGAAUAAUUAUACUCUCUAAUAAACCAGUAAAGUUGCA
This is a long non-coding RNA of Arvicola amphibius (Eurasian water vole), 326 nucleotides long. RefSeq lists it as uncharacterized. The transcript has 2 exons. NCBI's taxonomy places the organism in Eukaryota, Metazoa, Chordata, Mammalia, Rodentia, Cricetidae. The record is from RefSeq and is a predicted model, not a curated record.